RNAcentral lists this non-coding RNA (234 nucleotides) under Vitis vinifera (wine grape). RNAcentral describes it as "Bacterial large subunit ribosomal RNA". It matches the Rfam family "Bacterial large subunit ribosomal RNA", at positions 629 to 848 of the family's 2925-position model. The record is from Rfam by way of RNAcentral. Lineage: Eukaryota; Viridiplantae; Streptophyta; Magnoliopsida; Vitales; Vitaceae.
CAUAGGCAGUGGCUUGGUUAAGGGAACCCAUUGGAGCCGUAGUGAAAACGAGUCUUCAUAGGGCAAUUGUCACUGCUUAUGGACCCGAACCUGGGUGAUCUAUCCAUGACCAAGAUGAAGCUUGGGUGAAACUAAAUAGAGGUUCGAACCGACUGAUGUUGAAGAAUUAACGGAUGAAUUGUGAACACUAACCUCAUUUAACAAAUUAUAUAUGAAUACAAACUUAGCCUCUAG